Xyrichtys novacula (pearly razorfish) is the source of this 14267-nucleotide non-coding RNA. The record is from the annotation of a GenBank genome assembly. NCBI's taxonomy places the organism in Eukaryota, Metazoa, Chordata, Actinopteri, Labriformes, Labridae.
GGGUCCAACAUUACACACACCAAAUCCAUCUGUGCUCAUAUGAGAGAGUGUGAAGGACGCCCUCUGCAGCAACACUUGUUGAGAAGCUGCCUUCUGUCGCCAUCGUGUGGCAUUACUGUCUUCAGACAUUUCUUAAUCUCUUCGACUACUUCACAAAAAUAGUAAUAUGCCUCACCGAUGGCGGAUUUAAAGGCGAGGAGAGGAGCUGAUGUUAUUGGUCAAUACAGGUCUCGGCUGUGUUAAAAACACUCCACGCCCUCUCUCCUCCCUCGCUACGAUUUACGCCGCUGGGAGGAGCUGAGUUAGGGAGAGGGGAUACUUACGCCGGGCUGCGCCGCUCACCAAAAUACUAAAUUGUGCUUGGUAACGCCUUGUUGGGGCGGCGGACCUGACUUACGCUGCUCCUGUGGCACGUCUCCGGCGAGGCACGAAAAUAGAGCACCUUGUGUGCUGAGGCAGCCUGUGACCAAAGUCAAAAUAAGCAGAUGGAUACCUCAAGCCUUCAAUACCUUAAAUCAACAGACUGGAAUGUGCUGCUGGAAACAGAUGUGGAUAAUAUGAACACUGACAAACAGGUUGACUGCUUCACUGAAUAUGUACAUUUCUGUGGAGACACAGUUAUACCCACAAAGACUGUUUUCUGUUUCCACAACAACAAACCCUGGAUCACAAGUGACACAAGAGCAAUCCUUAACCAGAAAAAGAAAGCUUUUAAAGAUGGUGACAAAGAACUACUCAAAUGGGUGCAACAAGAGUUGAAGAGGAGACUGAAGAUGGCAAAGCUGGAGUACAAAAAGAAGAUAGAGAAGAAUCUACAACACAGCAACAUCUGUGAAGUGUGGAGAGGAAUCAGUACCAUCUCUGGACACAGCAGUAAAAAGAAAAGACAGCCAGUGGUGAGUGAUCUGGAAAAAGCUGAUGAACUCAACCUGUUCUUCAACAGAUUUGGAACUGCAGUCACACUCACUUCCACUGCUACUCCACCUUCCUCUCCGCAUCAAAUCUCCACUACAACUUAUCCCGUUACUCCUCCAUCUCAUUCAAAUGUCUCAACCACUUCAACUGCCUCCCUUCUAGAACACCAGUCCUUGUCUGUCAUCGAAACAGGGGUGAGGAUGGAGCUUGGAAGACUUUGUCCUGGGAAGGCAGCUGGUCCAGAUGGUGUGUGUCCAAGGCUGACUGUGCUGCAGAACUGUGUCAACCUCUCCACAGGAUCUUCAACAUGAGUCUACAGCUGGGUUGGGUACCUACUUUGUGGAAAACAUCUGCAUUGUGCCAGUAACAAAAACAAAAUGUCCUGCUGAACUCAGUAGUUGGGUUUCCAUUACCCAUAGAUUUGCGCAAAACCUAAAUAUCGCAAUAGAAAGCUGGUAAUGGAAACACCUAAAUUUCGAAAAACCUCUCAAAUAUCGCUAAAAAGUUUUUACGCUCUCAUGAAGUGGUUUUUCAGACGUGUCAAUAUAGAAGUAUAUCGCAAAAGUGUAAUGGAAACACUAUUCACUCAAUUGUAUGUCACCGGAUGUGACAUAGCGGGUCAUGUGACCAGUUCAUUUCAGGCAAAGAUGGCGCGGUAUGUGUGGACGGGGGAGGAGACGGAGUUAUUUCUACAAAUAAUAAAAGAGAAAAAUAUAACCGCCAUCCUUGACAGCAAACAACAGCGAAAUGCAGAGUUGUACAAGGAGCUAGAAGGGGAAAUGAGGGAGAAGCUCCCAUAUAUAUGGGCUUUGCCUUUGAAUUAUCAGCUGCUGCCUUCGUCUUCUGAUGACAGCAGCGGCAAGAGCAGUAAUGGUCACAGAAAUAGCUGCUCCAAAAUGUUUUGUAUCUCCUCCAUGUUGGUGUGCAAAAAGGCUUAAGGAAUACGAGGUUGCACAGGCAGGAAGUUUACCUCGUUGUUAACCUCGUUGUUUACCUUGUGGCAAUGGCCAUUCAAACACGGCUCGUGAGAGGCAGAUGGCUCGCUUAUGCACUGAACACCAUUCAAUGGAAACACCCCCAAAUCGCAAUGGUACUUUGUCGAAAUUUGAUAAACAUCGCUUUUAUUUUGCGAAAAAAUGUAAUGGAAACGCAGCUAGUGACUACAGACCAGUGGCCCUCACUUCACACAUUAUGAAAAACUGGAUUCCCUGCAGUUUGCAUUCAUGCAUUUGCAAAGAACACAUCGGAGUGGAUGAUGCUGUCCUCUACAUGCUUCACCGUGCCCUGUCUCAUCUGGAGGAACCUGGGGUUUAUGUGAGAUCAUGAUUUUCGACUUUUCAAGUGCAUUCACCACUCACUCACCAACAAGGGACACAUCAUCCACGAUCUCCUCACUGACUGCAAGCUGGACUUCCUCUGCAUCACUGAAACAUGGCAACAACCAAAUGACUUCUCAUCACUCAACGACUCCACCCCCCCCAACUUCACCUACCUCUCCCACCCCGCAGUCACGGCUCAUUCUCCUCAUUCGAACUCCUGGCACUUACACUCCCUGGACCCACUCUAACCGUUAUCGCCACCAUCUACCCCCCCCCCCCCCCCCCCAAGCCCCUCACCGACUUCCUAAAUGACUUCUCUGUUCUACUCACCCAUCUAUGCACACUCUCACCAAACACAAUAAUACUGGGGGACUUCAAUAUCCACAUUGACAACACCAACCUGCCCCUCACCAGAGACUUCUCAUCAUGCCUGGACAGUUUUGGACUCCAUCAAUUCAUCAACUUCCCGACACACACUAAAGGACACACUCUGGAUCUACUCUGCUGCUCUGGCCUCAUCCCAUCCAACUGCACAGCCGAUGAUCUCCAUGUAAGUGACCACCUCCUCAUCUCCUUCAGUAUUCCUCUCUGCCUCUCUAGAAUUAACUCACCACGCCUCAUUUCAUUCCGCAAUCUUAAGAACAUAAACAUUGACACUCUGCGCUCUAACAUCAACAAUAUUUUGAUCCUGGACUGUUCCGCUACCCCUGAUGAAAUAACAUCCCAUUACAACACCUGUUUAAAUAGCAUCCUCAACUCCCUCGCUCCAGUCAAAACACGCUCUGUUUCCUUCUCCACAACUGCUCCCUGGUACACCCCCCAUCUCCGCUCCAUUAAAACCAAAGGCCGCCAACUGGAAAGACUCUACAAGACAAAUGGACUCUCCAUUCACAAAGAAAUGUACACUAACCACAUCCGCCGCUACAAGGACUCAAUUUCUCAAGCCAAGACAGACCACUACUCCGCCCAGAUCAUAUUCAACAAAGGAAACACCAGAUCACUAUUCACUCUCCUCAACAAGUCUCUCCAGCCACCGGACCCCCACCCCCCCACCUGUAUUCAACCGACACCCGCAACACCCUAAUGCAGUUUUUAAUGACAAAAUGUCCAACAUCCACCAACAACUGCACUCAGGCUCUCUUCCCCCUGGACCACCUCUGACCCCACCAACUCCCCUGCCACACCGGCAGUACUUCUCCAGUUUUCUUCUCCCCGUUGACUCUGAAAUCUACGAUCUCAUCCGGAAAUCCAAACCCUCAACCUGUCAGCUGGAUCCUCUUCCCACCACACUGGUCAAAUCAUGCCUCCCGUCUGUGCUUCCUCUCAUAUCUGCCAUCAUUCACUCCUCACUCACCACUGGAACUGUUCCCGCAUCCCUCAAGACAGCAGCCAUCACCCCUCUACUGAAAAAACCUGGCUCUGACCCCAAUAACUUCAAUGACCUCCGCUCCAUCUCCAAUCGACUGUUCACAGCCAAAAUACUGGAAAAGGUCGUCGCUGGCCAACUACACUCCCACCUAACCCAGAACUCCCUCUACGACCCCUUCCAAUCUGGUUUCCGCCCCUGCCACAGCACCGAAACUGCACUGCUAAAAAUCACCAACGACCUUCUCACUGCAGCUGACUAAGGUUCACUUUCCAUCCUCAUCCUCCUCGACCUCAGUGCAGCCUUUGACACCAUCUCCCAUCCCAUCCUCCUCCGUAGACUCUCCUCCAUCGGCAUCUCCCACACCCCUCUCCGCAGGUUCCACUCUUACCUCUCAGACCGCACACAGUUCAUCCAGCUCAAAUCCUUCAAGUCCGACCCCUCCCCAGUCAGUUCAGGUGUGCCCCAGGGCUCUGUCCUGGGGCCCCUGCUGUUUAUCACCUACUUCUUCCCCCUUGGUUCCAUCUUCCAUAAAUUCAACAUUCAAUAUCGCUGCUACGCAGUGACACCCAGCUCUACCUCUCCAGCUCACCAAACUCCACCCUCCCACCUACCUCCCUCAUCACCUGCCUACCCGAAAUUAAAUCCUGGUUCACCGCCAACUUUCUCCAACUAAACAGUCAGAAUACAGAAAUUCUUCUAGUAGGUUCCAAAUUCACCUUUUUCCAAAGUUUACAGUCUCUCCCUUCCCAUCGACAGUUCCUCAGUUUCCCCCUCCCCUCAGGUCAAGAGUCUGGGUGUCGUCCUUGACAGUACUCUUUCCUUCAAAUCCCACAUCGGCCUUACCACUUGGACUGCCUACUUCCAUCUCCGCCACAUCAAUCGGCUCCGUCCCUCCCUCUCCCCCAACACCGCCUUCAUCCCCGUCCACAGUCUCGUCACCUCCCGUCUGGACUACUGCAACUCCCUCCUCUUCCGUCUCCCUCACACGUCUCUCCAUAAACUUCAACUGGUCCACAACUCCGCUGCCCAGAUCAUCACCAAAACCCCUUUGUCCCACCACAUCACCCCCAUACUGCAGCAGCUCCACUGGCUCCCGGUCCCACUUAGAAUCCAGUUCAAAUCUCUGCUCAGUGACCCAGACUUUGACAGUUACAUCAAAAGAGAGUGGGCGUCCUUCUUGGAAAUAAAUGAUUCCCCAAAGUCAUCACAUACACUUCUCUGGGAAACAAGCAAGGCAAUAAAACAAUUAGAAACGUUGAAUGCAAAUAAUCCAACAGAAGACACUCAAAAGGAAUUAAGAAAACACCAAUUACAACUAAACGACAUUUUAAACAAAAGAGCAAAAUUUUUAAUCCAUAGGUUAAGACAAGAAAACUAUCAUCACAACAACAAAUCUGGUAAAUACUUGGCAAAUCAAAUCAAACAAAAUAAAGAAAAAUCAAUAAUUUCCACCAUUAAGGACUCAGCAGGGAACCCCACCAACUCACCGCAGGAAAUAAAUGAAAUAUUUAGAAACUUUUACGCCAAAUUAUACUCAUCUGAUAAAGACCCAAGACAGGAGGAUAUUGAUUCAUUUUUUAAAGACAUUAAACUUCCACAACUUAAUACAGAUCAGGUCAAUACACUCGACUCACCAAUCACAGAAACAGAACUCUCUACUGCACUAAAUCUCAUGCCAAACAAUAAAGCACCAGGUCCCGAUGGCUUCCCUGCUGAGUUCUACAAACACUUCUGGUCCAUUUUAUCCCCACUCUUCAUGAAAACAAUAACUGAAAUAAAACAAAACUCUAAGUUUCCGAUACAUAUGAACACAGCUUUAAUCUCACUUCUCCCCAAACCAAAUAAAGAUCACACCUUGCCGUCAAAUUACCGUCCUAUCUCAUUAAUCAACGUAGACAUGAAAAUCAUCAGUAAAGCCCUCGCACUUAGGUUAGAAAAAGUCACACCUCACAUAAUUCACCCAGAUCAGACCGGCUUCAUUAAAGGUAGACAGGCAUCCAACAAUACACGUAGACUGUUCAAUUUAAUCCAUUACUCAUCAUUACAACAGGAAGACACCAUCAUAGCCACUUUAGACGCAGAAAAAGCUUUUGACAGGGUAAACUGGACUUCUCUCUUUCAUACACUACAGAAAUUUGGCUUUGGGGAAUCAUUUAUUAACUGGAUCAAGAUUCUGUACACCUCACCAUCAGCCACCGUCACUACUAAUGGUCUAACAUCACAAAGAUUCACACUGCACAGGGGGACCAGGCAAGGAUGCCCACUCUCUCCCUCCUUAUUCACAAUUUUCAUCGAGCCCUUAGCAACAGCCAUCCGUCAAAACUCCCAUAUCCAUGGAAUUAAAACACCCCAAAUACAGCACAAAAUAAGUUUAUAUGCAGACGAUAUUUUACUUUUUCUUCAAAAUCCCCAAUCAUCUCUGCAGGAAUUAAUAAAUCUCUUGCUACUCAAUAAACUGGAAUAAAUCAUCCAUCCUCCCAUUGCACAACACCAGAUGGGAUGUGACAGCCCAUACAUUUCCCAUUCCUCUAUGCACGGGUCACUUCACAUAUUUGGGUAUCAACAUUUCCUCCAGGUUGUCAGAGCUGAUAGAACUAAACUUCACUCCACUACUUAAAACAAUAGAUGACGACCUCCAACGCUGGAUGAAGCUACCACUAUCCAUUCUAGGCAGAAUACAAUUAAAAUGACAAUACUACCUAAGAUAAAUUAUCUUUUUUCAAUGAUCCCAACCCAUCCCACUUCCACCUGGUUCAACUCUCUAGACUCAAUAAUCACUAAAUUUUACUGGAAAAAUAAAACACCAAGGAUCAAACUGGCCACACUUCAAAAACCAAAAUUACAAGGCGGAUUAGAUGCACCACAUUUCAAUUAUUACUCUCUGGCAAAUCAACUACAGUACAUAUACAAAUGGACACACCCCAAUUACUCAGAUCACACCUGGUUAGACAUAGAACAGACACUCUGUAAAGAUAUCCGGAUUUCAGACACACAAUUUCUCAGUCUAUCAAUCAAACGCCACCCCUGUUUCAAAGCAAUAACAAUAGCAUCUGCUCUGACAGCCUGGUGGAAAUUUCACAAAAUCACAAAUACCACUCUUUCACCAUCUAGCCUCACCCCCAUUUAGAACAAUCCGGACCUCCUUUGCAACAAAAAAGCACUCAACUUUCACACAUGGGCAGGAAAGGGCAUCACACACCUUAAACACAUUUUCCAUAAUAACACCCUGGCAUCAUUUCCCCACCUGGUCCAGGAGUACGGCAUUGGGAGUAAUCAAUUUCUGGAAUAUUUACAGCUUAAGUCAUCUGUCAAAUCAAAAAUUAACAUCAGUUCCACAAAUCUAGACCUUUCACCUGCACUAUCAGAAUUUAUUAAUAUCCUUUCCCCCAAAAAACUCCUCUCCAAAAUAUAUAAAAUAAUAUUAGAAUCUGACAAAAUCAUAUCUCUACCAUCACAAAAAUGGCAACAAGACCUGGCAAUUGCUCCUGAUGCCGACUUCUGGACCCAGAUCUGUAAAAACAUUUAUCUUAUGACUAAAAAUGCUAACUUACAACUCAUACAAUAUAAGAUACUUCACAGAACUCACUACACUGGACAAAAAAUGUUUAAAAUGGGCUUCACCUCAGAAAUUUGCACCCACUGCACUCAAAACUGUCCCGACACCUACACUCACGCCAUUUGGCACUGCAACCCAAUCAAACACUUCUGGAAACUAGUCACCGAGUCAUUAUCACACCUCAUGGUGCGCAAAAUGUGGGGAUCCUGUGUGGGCCGCGGGCCGUGUCCCCCGCCCCUUUUUGGCCCCACUCUGCCCCAGUUUCUUUUUUUGGCCCCGGGCCAGUUCCAUGUCACAUGCAUCUCCGACUUUUAAUGCAUCACACACCAACCCUUCACACCCCACUUUUUAAUGCAUACAUCACAGGGAAGUUUUUAAUGCACCACAUGAACAUAACACAAGAGGAGAGUCAUGUGCGGCCCGGGGUAUUUAGAGGUGGAGUGGGUGGUCAGUUUGGUUGGCGGGUGGCCGCAGGGCCCUGUGGGGUGCCCCGCAGGCGUCCCACCACGGUGGACGUGGGUGCUGGUCGGCCUGCUUUUUGGGUGGUGCGGGGGGCCGGGCUGGCCUCUGGCCCGGGCCAUAGUGUUGUGGAUUGUGGUGGCUUUUGUUGUUCCAUAUCCUCAUUAGUAUGACUGUCAUUAUUGUUAGCGUCGUUGCGGUCAUUUGUUUGCUGUCAUUGCUGUCGCCGGUAUUCCUGGUGUUGUUACUGCUAAUGCUGUUGUGGUUGUUGUAUCGUCGUGUGUGUGGGAAUAUAUGUGUAUAUAUAUGUACACUCACCGGCCACUUUAUUAGGUACACCAUGCUAGUAACGGGUUGGACCCCCUUUUGCCUUCAGAACUGCCUCAAUUCUUCGUGGCAUAGAUUCAACAAGGUGCUGGAAGCAUUCCUCAGAGAGCUUGGUCCAUAUUGACAUAAUGGCAUCACACAGUUGCCGCAGAUUUGUCGGCUGCACAUCCAUGAUGCGAAUCUCCCGUUCCACCACAUCCCAAAGAUGCUCUAUUGGAUUGAGAUCUGGUGACUGUGGAGGCCAUUUGAGUACAGUGAACUCAUUGUCAUGUUCAAGAAACCAGUCUGAGAUGAUUCCAGCUUUAUGACAUGGCGCAUUAUCCUGCUGAAAGUAGCCAUCAGAAGUUGGGUACAUUGUGGUCAUAAAGGGAUGGACAUGGUCAGCAACAAUACUCAGGUAGGCUGUGGCGUUGCAACGAUGCUCAAUUGGUACCAAGGGGCCCAAAGAGUGCCAAGAAAAUAUUCCCCACACCAUGACACCACCACCACCAGCCUGAACCGUUGAUACAAGGCAGGAUGGAUCCAUGCUUUCAUGUUGUUGACGCCAAAUUCUGACCCUACCAUCCGAAUGUCGCAGCAGAAAUCGAGACUCAUCAGACCAGGCAAUGUUUUUCCAAUCUUCUAUUGUCCAAUUUCGAUGAGCUUGUGCAAAUUGUAGCCUCAGUUUCCUGUUCUUAGCUGAAAGGAGUGGCACCCGGUGUGGUCUUCUGCUGCUGUAGCCCAUCUGCCUCAAAGUUCGACGUACUGUGCGUUCAGAGAUGCUCUUCUGCCUACCUUGGUUGUAACGGGUGGUUAUUUGAGUCACUGUUGCCUUUCUAUCAGCUCGAACCAGUCUGGCUAUUCUCCUCUGACCUCUGGCAUCAACAAGGCAUUUCCGCCCACAGAACUGCCGCUCACUGGAUAUUUUUUCUUUUUUGGACCAUUCUCUGUUAACCCUAGAGAUGGUUGUGCGUGAAAAUCCCAGCAGAUCAGCAGUUUCUGAAAUACUCAGACCAGCCCUUCUGGCACCAACAACCAUGCCACGUUCAAAGUCACUCAAAUCACCUUUCUUCCCCAUACUGAUGCUCGGUUUGAACUGCAGGAGAUUGUCUUGACCAUGUCUACAUGCCUAAAUGCACUAAGUUGCCGCCAUGUGAUUGGCUGAUUAGAAAUUAAGUGUUAACGAGCAGUUGGACAGGUAUACCUAAUAAAGUGGCCGGUGAGUGUAUAUGUGUGUAUGUAUGUGUGCAUGUAUGUUUGUAUGUGUAUGUAUAUGUAUACAUAUAAUUAUUAUUAUAUAGAUAUUCCAAUGUAAUCCAAUUAAGAUUUUUUUUUUCUUUUCUUUUUAAAUUCUCUUUUACAUAUUAUAUAAAUUCCUUCCCCCCUCCCUCACAAAAGUAUUUUUGUAAAUUUUUAAUUUUUUUAUCUUUUUGUUGUUGUUGUUGUUUCUAUUGUUGUUGUCACUCUGUUUUGUUGUUAAAUAGAAUUUAAAAAAAAAAAAAAAAAGAAAUCCAGUUCAAAAUCCUCCUGUAUACCUUUAAAGCCAUCCACAACCUCGCCCCUCCUUACCUGUCUGACCUCCUCCACAUCGCCACUCCAUCAUGUUGCCUCCGAUCCUCUUCCUCUCUCCACCUCACUGUGCCCCCUUUUCACCUCAGCACCAUGGGGGGUAGAGCUUUCAUUCGCUCUCCCUCCCCCUCUUCAAAUCCAAACUCAAGACACACCUGUUUAAACUGGCCUAUCCAUCCCACCACCCCGAACUCACUCUUUUAAUUUAAUUUGAAUUGGUAUUAUUUAUUUCUUUAUUUAUUCCUUUGCUGUUGUUUAUGCUGCUUCGUUGAUUUUAACUGUUUUGAUGAUUGAUGAUUUUAAUUGUUAAUAGUGUUUCGUUAUCAUUAUCAUAUGUUCUGUAUAGUGUCCUUGAGUGACAUGAAAGGCGCUCCAGAUAAAAUGUGUUAUUAUAAUUAUUUUACCAUCCAACCCACCAUCCUUCCUGUGUUUCCUGGAUCGCAGAUUACCUGACAAGAAGGCACAAUUUGUCAGUCUGGGGAACUGUGUUUCUGGGACAUUAAUGAGCAGUACAGGGGCUCCACAAGGGACAGUGCUGGCGCCAUUCCUGUUCAGCGGUGUGUCAGGUGUGCUGGUACUUUUACUCACUCACUUACAACAUGGAGACGUGGACUCUCCACAUUUUAUCUGCAGUGUACUAAAAAUAUUCUAAUUUCUAAGUUAUCUGCAGGCUUCUGUUGCACAAUGUUUUUAAGUAUCCCAUCUCAAUAAAUGAGAAUAUAUUUAUUUUUAUUUGUUGAGGAGUACCUGUACUGUAUGCUGUUAGCUUGCUUCUGUGAGGCUCACAGCUAGAACACUGCAGCAGCAUGCCUUGAUGUUGAAUGUUGUGUAUGUUGUUGCAAAGUUUAUUUCAGGGGUACAGUAUCAGGGGAAGGUACUAAAACAGUAGAGGAGAUAAGAGUGUGCAACUUUCUUUAUUGUUCUUGUUCAAAUGAUCCUUAGUCGGCACCUUGUCAAACUUGGGUGUGCUCCUCUUGUACAAAGCCUACAGGUACAGUAAGAACCUCAUCCAACGUUCACCCCCUCCCAAAUCCAUCGAUCAGUGAUGAGAACAAUGAGGAGUAUAAGGUCCAUUAGUCCACUGAAACAGAUAGCCGCGAUCCGGUUUGAUUGCAUUCACGCUGACUGCAAUCAGUAUGAGUGGUGACAGCGGACGCUUUUCGACAUUAAAGAAGGAAAUAUUGAUAAUAUAUCUUCGUUAGCACCAAGUGUUUCGUUUCUAUUUAUUUGAAGCGUGGAUCAUAGUUGUGGAGACGUCCACACAAACAUUGAAUACUAGCAACAAGCAAGGUGUACAGGCUGUGUUAAUUACAUUGAAUAUCAGUUGAACGAAUGAUACACAGAUUCACUGCCCCCUAUCGGCCAGAAGUGGCCAGAACGAGUGGGGUCAGUGACGUCACUUUUCUGCGCCACUUGAGAUUGAGAAUCAGAUUGAAUUAUGAGACAGUUUUUGCGGGGCGAGCACGAAAACGACAAAGCAUUUCUGCGUUUGCUUUUGCUUUUUAAUUUAGUCACAAAAUGAGCAGUCUUAAAGAAGAAAAUGAAAAUGCAUUUUGGAAUAUUGCUUUUGAUUUUUAUUUUUGAGUCAAAACGCAUUUCUGCUAAUGCUGUUGAAUUUGAGAUAUGAGUCACAAUCGCAUCCAUAAUGCUUAAUGCGCCCUUUUUAACAACCCAUAGCUGGUAGUCUGCUGUGUUUUGUAACUCGUCCCAUAGCUCAGCUGCCAAGUUGCUGAUGUGAGCCUGUGACAGUGUGUUAGGCAGAAAUGUCAAAAAUUACGGGAAAAGGAGCGUCCCGUUUUAGUUCAUUACGGGACAUGUCUUUUUGUUUUCGAAUACGGUAUGAUCCAAUUUUUUACGGUACGGUUGGGAACCAUAGUGGGGACUAGCAUGCCCUGGUCUUUGUCUUGUUUAGAGUCAGUACACUCUGCGUGAUCACCUACCAUAAAACUGUAGUUUAGGACUGCGCACAACAUGAUCACGUGCUUCCUACUUACCCAACCACCGUAAUAACAGUUGUUCUAGUAUACACGCAACAUUUUCUUCCUCAUUAAUGAAAAUGCUUUUUCCUCCUUCAUGAAACACUAAAAUCGGGAACAUUUCUGGGGAAAGCUUUUGCUAGGGACAGGUUAUCCAAAACGGGGACUGUCUCCGUAAAUCUGGGACAUCUAGUCACCCUACAUAACGCAGAAUUUAAUUGAACCAUGUAACAUUGUGAAUAAAAUGUAUGUAAAUCCAGCGAAAUGUGGGAUAAUCGUCAUCUGCUGUCUAUUGUGUGUGUGGCUGAAAACAAUAUGGAAAGAGGGAUUGUGGGAAAUCCUCAGCAGAAAUGAGGAUUCAACCAAGAAGUAACAUGUCCCAAUGUCUGGGCAAAAACUUUGUUUGGGGUGUUGGAGUCAUGUUAAAAUUAAUCUUAUAGUGUGUAUGGAUUUGCUGUGUGUUUAUGUUGAUUUUUUCAUGUUCUCCACAACUACAAUGGUGUUUUUGUUGUUUUGUUGCCGACGGAAAUGUGUAGCACGGAGCGAGCAGUAUUAGCUUAAUACGAUCAUUUUUUCUUCUGUCGUGUCGUUAUGUUAAUUUCACGUUCAUCCCAUGCCAGUUAUUGACAUGUUGAAUAUAAAAAUAUAUUAGGGUAAGAGCUGAUAAGAAUGUGUAGCUUGUAUAUUAAAAUUAACUUUCAACACACAUUCACUUUUUAUUUUGUUAUAUUCACAGAUAUCUCGGUAUUAAAAAAUCCACUAUAAGAUCACAGUAAAAGUAGUUUAAAGUGUUUUAUUGUAUUUGUUUCAUAGCUACUCUUUAUUUGUGAUAUAGAGUAGAAAUAAUGUGAUAAGUAUCACGUUAUUUUGUGAUAUUUAUCAUGUUAUUUCAUGAUACUGACCCUUUUUUUCGGUGGCAACUAUACGUUUCUGUAGGAAUGCGUAAAGCAGUUUAUAUGGGUCUGCAUGAUAUACCUCUGCAUGUACACCUAAAAAAAAUGAAAUAUCGUGACAAUGUUCAGUAUUUUUUGUCAUUCAAUUCAUACAGUAAAAAAACAAAUAAAGAUUUAUUACAUAAAGAAAUAUUUCAAACCUUUAUUUCUUGAAAUGUUGAUGAUUAUGGCUUACAGAUAAUGAAAACCCAAAAUUCAGUGUCUCAGAAAAUGAGAAUAUUGUGAAGUCAUGAAGUCAUUCAGCUAAUGAACUCCAAACACCUGCAAAGGUUUCCUGAGCCUUUAAAUGGUCUCUUAGUAUGGGUCGGUUAGCUACACAAUUAUGGUGAAGACUGCAGACUCGACAGAUGUCCAGAAGACAGUCAUUGUGGAGGGUGUCGAUGAUGUUUCAAGAAAUGAAGGCUUGAAAUCAUAAAUCUAUAUAUGGGUUUCACUUUACGUGGAAAAAAAAUUAAUAAAUAUUGAAAUUUGUCAUAAUCCAAUUUUUUAGGUGUACCUGUACAUGGCAAUCACUUCCUGAAGAAGUGAAUGGGUGACUGUCUAAGAAAAAUUAAUAGAAACACUGUCACUUGCAACAUAGAUGGAAAAGAGAUAUCAGCAGUGGUAUUUUCUUCUGGCAGAGCCCAGUGCACUGCCAGUUUGGUAUUUUCAUGGACUGAGGCGCACAGAGGUCCGCUAAGCUGGGUGUGGUGAUGCGGCAGGGGGAGGUGUUGACAGAAUCAGCUGGCGCAGUGACAUUUUCGUGCCUGGCAGCUGCGUAGAAAUUGCGCUGAAAGCUUGCUGAUUCAAACCUGGUCAGCUCUCAGCACAGGUGGAGCACAGCUGGUCUAGUGGUAUUUUGGUAGACGGCGACGUAGUGCGCAUACAUCACCGUUCCCUCACCAGCAGGUUUCCACAGUGGCAGGCACAUUUCAGUGCAAUAAAUAAUCAACAAUAAUUAAUAUUCUGAGUCAGCACAUACAUUUACAUGUAUAUCGAUAUAUUCUGAUCUAUACAACAUAUUGUAGCAGCUGGGGGCGGGGUUGACGGAGAAUGGAAUUACAUGUAGUAAAAUACUAUAACAACUAUUUACCAAUUAACUAAUCAACUACUGAUUACCAACUACGAAAUGAUUUUAUUGCCAACAACGCCACCCCAGGAAUUUCACCUGGAGAGUAGAAUUACCUCUUAAUGAAGUGUUAAGGCGCACACAGGUUUGUCUGCCAGUGAAGACGGGAGGCCCUGGUCCAGUGUACAAAUACCUUUGAUUUUUAUUUCACAAUUUCACCAAUAAACAAAGUCAAUAAAAUAUUUUUCACUCAUUCACCUACACUCAUUCACACACAAACACACACACGUCUCUAAACCAUAGCAACAAUAUUGCCUAUAAAACUGAUGUGCAAUUAGCGAAUUUUGGUUAAAUCAGAAAUAAACCACAAAUACAAAACAAAGAAAAUUAGCAAGCAAAGAAAAGAAAAUAACUCAAUCGUAUUUAGAAAUGACCAAACCAAACAAAAAUGCUAAUAAAUCAAAUACUAAUAACUAACAAAAAAAUAAUAAUAACCAAACCAAAGAAACAAAACAUACAAACACCCAAAUCACAAAAUAAUAACAAAUGAUUUAAACCAUAAUGGGAUAAAUGCCAACAAAAUGAGGAAGCUGAGGCAACAGGUUACCUAAAGUUUAGUCCACAGGGUGAUGACGUCACCUCACACUAAACAAGACACCACCCAUUCAAAGUUGGAUGGUGACAGCCUUACCAACGGCGAUGAGACAGGAGUACAAUGAAGCAGGCAACAGUGGUAGCAGUAACAACCACAGCGCAGCUGCAAAGGAGCAAAACGGCAGCACAGGAGCAAAACAGCA